ACAGCCGCGGUAAUUCCAGCUCCAAUAGCGUAUAUUAAAGUUGUUGCAGUUAAAAAGCUCGUAGUUGAACCUUGGGUCUGGCUGGCCGGUCCGCCUCACCGCGUGCACUGGUCCGGCCGGACCUUUCCUUCUGGGGAGCCUCAUGCCCUUCACUGGGUGUGCUGGUCAACCAGGACUUUUACUGUGAAAAAAUUAGAGUGUUCAAAGCAGGCCUAUGCUCGAAUACAUUAGCAUGGAAUAAUAGAAUAGGACGUGUGGUUCUAUUUUGUUGGUUAUAGGACCGCCGUAAUGAUUAAUAGGGAUAGUCGGGGGCAUCAGUAUUCAAUUGUCAGAGGUGAAAUUCUUGGAUUUAUUGAAGACUAACUACUGCGAAAGCAUUUGCCAAGGAUGUUUUCAUUAAUCAGGAACGAAAGUUAGGGGAUCGAAGACGAUCAGAUACCGUCGUAGUCUUAACCAUAAACUAUGCCGACUAGGGAUCGGGCGAUGUUAUUAUUUGACUCGCUCGGCACCUUACGAGAAA
This 520-nucleotide ribosomal RNA is filed under the name Lauriomyces glumateus. RNAcentral describes it as "SSU rRNA". It matches the Rfam family "Eukaryotic small subunit ribosomal RNA", at positions 570 to 1097 of the family's 1831-position model. Lineage: Eukaryota; Fungi; Ascomycota; Leotiomycetes. The record is from RNAcentral.